UGGGGAAUAUUGCACAAUGGGCGCAAGCCUGAUGCAGCAACGCCGCGUGAGGGAUGACGGCCUUCGGGUUGUAAACCUCUUUUAGUAGGGAAGAAGCGAAAGUGACGGUACCUGCAGAAAAAGCACCGGCUAACUACGUGCCAGCAGCCGCGGUAAUACGUAGGGUGCAAGCGUUGUCCGGAAUUAUUGGGCGUAAAGAGCUCGUAGGCGGCUUGUCGCGUCUGCUGUGAAAACCCGAGGCUCAACCUCGGGCCUGCAGUGGGUACGGGCAAGCUAGAGUGCGGUAGGGGAGAUUGGAAUUCCUGGUGUAGCGGUGGAAUGCGCAGAUAUCAGGAGGAACACCGAUGGCGAAGGCAGAUCUCUGGGCCGUAACUGACGCUGAGGAGCGAAAGCAUGGGGAGCGAACAGG
Molecule: ribosomal RNA, 409 nt
Filed under: uncultured bacterium
Lineage: Bacteria
Description: bacterial SSU rRNA
Rfam family: Bacterial small subunit ribosomal RNA
Source: RNAcentral